RNAcentral lists this ribosomal RNA (468 nucleotides) under uncultured bacterium. RNAcentral describes it as "partial 16S ribosomal RNA". It matches the Rfam family "Bacterial small subunit ribosomal RNA", at positions 28 to 507 of the family's 1533-position model. The record is from RNAcentral.
GACGAACGCUGGCGGCGUGCUUAACACAUGCAAGUCGAACGGAAAGGCCCUGCUUUUGUGGGGUGCUCGAGUGGCGAACGGGUGAGUAACACGUGAGUAACCUGCCCUUGACUUUGGGAUAACUUCAGGAAACUGGGGCUAAUACCGGAUAGGAGCUCCUGCUGCAUGGUGGGGGUUGGAAAGUUUCGGCGGUUGGGGAUGGACUCGCGGCUUAUCAGCUUGUUGGGGGGGUAGUUGCUUACCAAGGCUUUGACGGGUAGCCGGCCUGAGAGCGUGAACGGCCACAUUGGGACUGAGAUACGGCCCAGACUCCUACGGGAGGCAGCAGUGGGGAAUAUUGCACAAUGGGCGGAAGCCUGAGGCAGCAACGCCGCGUGCGGGAUGACGGCCUUCGGGUUGUAAACCGCUUUCGCCUGUGACGAAGCGUGAGUGACGGUAAUGGGUAAAGAAGCACCGGCUAACUACGUG